This 387-nucleotide ribosomal RNA is filed under the name Triticum aestivum (bread wheat). Its description in RNAcentral is "partial small subunit ribosomal RNA". The record is from RNAcentral. Lineage: Eukaryota; Viridiplantae; Streptophyta; Magnoliopsida; Poales; Poaceae.
AUGAAGCUCCUGGAAUUCAACUUUGCAAUCCAAUAUAAAAAAGGAGUAGAAAAUAGAGUGGUUGAUGCUCUAUCAAGGAUUGUUCCAAAAUGUUUUGCUAUAUCUGUUGUUACUCCUACAUGGGCUGAGGAAUUAAUAACAAGCUAUCAACAGGACCAGCAAACCAAAACAUUGGUAGAGCAGUUGUUAGUGCAGAAACAGAGCACUAACUCAGACUAUACACUACAUGCUAGUGUAAUCAAAUACAAGGGAAGGUUGUUAGUGGGAAAAUCAGUUGAACUCAGGAACAAGUUAAUAUUAGCACUUCACAAUUCUCAUAUGGGAGGACACUCGAGAAGGAGAGCUACAUACCACAGAGUCAAAAGCAUUUUUAUUGGCAGGGCCUAA